RNAcentral lists this ribosomal RNA (301 nucleotides) under uncultured bacterium. Its description in RNAcentral is "partial 16S ribosomal RNA". It matches the Rfam family "Bacterial small subunit ribosomal RNA", at positions 509 to 807 of the family's 1533-position model. The record is from RNAcentral.
CAGUAGCCGCGGUAAUACGAAGGGCGCAAGCGUUACUCGGAAUUACUGGGCGUAAAGCGUGCGUAGGUGGUGGUUUAAGUCCGUUGUGAAAGCCCUGGGCUCAACCUGGGAAUUGCAGUGGAUACUGGAUCACUAGAGUGUGGUAGAGGAUAGUGGAAUUUCCGGUGUACCAGUGAAAUGCGUAGAGAUCGGAAGGAACAUCUGUGGCGAAGGCGACUAUCUGGGCCAACACUGACACUGAGGCACGAAAGCGUGGGGAGCAAACAGGAUUAGAUACCUCGGUAGUCCCUGUCUCUUAUAC